Molecule: RNA transcript, 1789 nt
Organism: Cervus elaphus (red deer)
Lineage: Eukaryota; Metazoa; Chordata; Mammalia; Artiodactyla; Cervidae
Gene name: tyrosine-protein phosphatase non-receptor type 23-like
Exons: 4
Source: RefSeq, a predicted model, not a curated record
ACAUGAGUCUGAACAAACUCCCGGAGAUGGUGAAGGACAGGGAGGCCUGGCGUGCUGCAGUCCGUGGGGUCGCAAAGAGUCAGACACAACUGAGCGACUAAACAGCAGCAACAGAAAGCCAGCCUGUUCCACACGCUUUCUUAUUUGUCACGCUUGAGGAAAUCUGAUCUAACAUAGAAGCAGCAACCACAGCCACACAGCUGGCCAGCUGCCACAAAUCGUCCCCCACCUGCUCUUAACCUCUUCAAGCUCCUUUCCUAUGCUGCUACCUCCAAACACCCCCCAUAGAACGCAUCCUUGAGGACCCUUUCGUGUCAUCUCCUCUAGUUGACAGCUUGCUGAAUGACUGAAUGACUCACCCCGCCUAGGAGCAGCUGCCCCUACGAGUGCUUUCACGUAGAAAUGAGGGCCACCUCUUCCCUGGUGGUUCAGCUGGUAAAGAAUUCGCCUGCAAUGCGGGAAACCUGGGUUUAAUCCCUGGGUUGGGAAGAUGCCCCUGGAGAAGGGAACGGCUAUCCACUCCAGUAUUCUGGCCUGGAGAAUUCCAUGGACUGUGUAGCCCACGGGGUCACAAAGAGUCGGACACAACUGAACGACUUUCACUUUCACUUUUCUCACUUCUCUUUAUGACCCCAAUGAGGACUCCAUCCAAGUUUUUUUUUUUCUUUAGUUCAAGAUGCAGAACCUCCCAGGGUUGAAUUGCUAAUCAGCAUCUAUAGGGUAAACGUGACAGAAAGGAUGGGUGUCCCCCCGCCAGCUGGGGUCUUUCACAGCCCUGCGGUGAACCAUGGCCUCUGCAAUGGCCCAGCUGGGGAGGUAAUUCCACUUCUCCUUUGAGCCACUUCUCUCGAGUCCAGCUGUCCUUGAGUGUUUCUGUGGGGACAGCAGGUGGGGGCUUCCCCCUUGCCCUGCACUCAUCCAGAGGGAUGGACUGCUUUUGAAUGACCUGGAAGACCGACCCUUCUCCUUCAUCUUGCAUCCACUGUUUAUUCCUUGUCCUUUUACGUCUGAGGGUGUUCACCGGGUUCUGGAGGGCAGGGGUGCAGCAGACAGAGGCCUAGAGGGCUGCAUGCAAACACAUUCAACCCGAAUGAACCAGAGAGCGAUAAAACAAACCUUUAAAAAAAAUGAACUCCUUUAAAAGAGUUCCCAGUGGCUCUGUAGCCCUGGCUGGCUGCUUCUCUCAAGACCGUACGCCUUGCUCACUGGGAGCAGAUGGCCUUCUGGAGACUUCAGGCAAACUUCCUGCUACUCUGCUGGGACCAUGUGGCCCUCCCUAGUCUCUGCCCACUGUGCCAGUCUGGGUUGUGGAGUCUUGGGCCUACUGGGCUCCCAGUCCAGGCUAGAAGAGACCACAAGAGCCAGAGCCAGCAGGAGUCAUCUGGGCCCCCUCCCCAGCCCCACCCCCACAAGGGCCCCUGCUGCCAGAGGAAGAGCAUCGCCUUGUUCUGCAAAGACCAGAGUCGACAAAGGCCUGGCCCCAAACCAGCCCAGACCCAGCAGGUAUGUGGGAACAGAGCCGAUGAACUGAGGCGUGGACACACCUAGUGGGAGCAGCUGAUGAGACUUUGAGUGAUGUCUGCUGGAGUCCGGAGUCUUGUGCUCUGGAGAGGUCCGGCUGGAGGUGUGCUUCUGGGAGCAUCAGCCUCCAGGAGAGAAAGUUUGCCGCCCUCUGCUGUAGACAACGUUUCACCACUGAGCAAGAAGAACAAGAGGAUCAGAGACCUGGCCGGCGCAGGGAUCGACUGGUUUGAUCUCCUUGCUGUCCAAGAGACUGUCAAGAGUCUUC